This 386-nucleotide ribosomal RNA is filed under the name uncultured soil bacterium. RNAcentral's name for it is "bacterial SSU rRNA". It matches the Rfam family "Bacterial small subunit ribosomal RNA", at positions 26 to 405 of the family's 1533-position model. The record is from RNAcentral.
AGAUUGAACGCUGGCGGCAUGCCUUACACAUGCAAGUCGAACGGCAGCACGGGAGCAAUCCUGGUGGCGAGUGGCGAACGGGUGAGUAAUACAUCGGAACGUGCCCAAGUCGUGGGGGAUAACGCAGCGAAAGCUGUGCUAAUACCGCAUAAGAUCUACGGAUGAAAGCAGGGGAUCGCAAGACCUUGCGCGAAUGGAGCGGCCGAUGGCAGAUUAGGUAGUUGGUGAGGUAAGGCUCACCAAGCCUUCGAUCUGUAGCUGGUCUGAGAGGACGACCAGCCACACUGGGACUGAGACCACGGCCCAGACCUCCGUACGGGAGGCAGCGAGGUAGGGUAAUUUGGACAAGUGGGACGAAAGCCUGAUCCAGCCAUCGCCGUCGUGCG